GGCUUUCCCUCGUGAGUGUCAGAAACAUGUGUGCUGCUAGCGCUAACGAGAACGUUGAUUUGGUGCCAAAGAAGGAUCUUCAGUGGUAUGACAGUAUUUCAGCUACAGGAAAACCCAUGUCAACAGAGUGCAAAAAGUGCCUCAGAGUAGUGGAGACAACACAUGUACUUAAUCGUUUUGAAGAAUAAACAUCCACUACAUUACAACGAUUGCAUGGUAAAAAUAAAGUGCCCAAAGAGCAGCAGAGCCCCUCAGCCACAACCAGCCAUGUACAUUAACAGGCACUGACCGCCGAUGGGUCAGUGUAACACCCUACCAAAACAACAUCCCGUAGACACACAGAAAUCACAGAGGCUAUAACAUAGCCCAAGUAAUGGUUCCUGUUUACACAAUCAACAAAGACUACUGAUAUAUAAUAAUAAUAAUAAUAUAUGCCAUUUAGCAGACGCUUUUAUCCAAAGCGACUUAGUCAUGUGUGCAUACAUUCUACGUAUGGGUGGUCCCGGGAAUCGAACCCACUACCCUGGCGUUACAAGCGCCAUGCUCUACCAACUGAGCUACAGAAGGACUACUGCAACAAGAUCAUUCAAAAGCUGGAUAUACAAGAUUCCAUCUCACAAAUAAGUCGCCAACCCUACACUGCAUAAUAAAAUGAAGAUAGAAGUUUAAACAUGUCGCGUUGAAUGACUGGACCAGAUUCCAACGUGUUGGACAUAGUCGGUAGGCUACGUGUUACAUGUUAAGGCACGUUGACUUAUAAUUUCCAUUAGAAUAAUGAUUGAGCCUAUUUAUACAUAAUUACACAAUCAUAGGCGUCCUAUUCAAUCCGCAGCCAAUGGCUACCUGAAUAAAUUAUGAUUAAUUAUUAUUUAAGAACUCAUAAAUGGUCAAAUAGGAAGUCAUAAUGGUAUUAGUUAAUGAAUGAAUAACUGCUGCACUUAUAGCACACUAUAUUUUGAUGAUCGUGAAAAACAUACCAAUUGUAAUAUGUAGGUGUAAUAAUCGUAUUAUAUGUAGGUGUAAUAAUCGUAUCUAUUAUAUGUAGGUGUAAUAAUCGUAUUAUAUGUAGGUGUAAUAAUCAUAUCUAUUAUAUGUAGGUGUAAUAAUCGUAUUAUAUGUAGGUGUAAUAAUCGUAUCUAUUAUAUGUAGGUGUAAUAAUUGUAUUAUAUGUAGGUGUAAUAAUCGUAUUAUAUGUAGGUGUAAUAAUCUUAUUAUAUGUAGGUGUAAUAAUCGUAUCUAUUAUAUGUAGGUGUAAUAAUCAUAUCUAUUAUAUGUAGGUGUAAUAAUCAUAUCUAUUAUAUGUAGGUGUAAUAAUCUUAUUAUAUGUAGGUGUAAUAAUCAUAUCUAUUAUAUGUAGGUGUAAUAAUCAUAUUAUAUGUAGGUGUAAUAAUCAUAUCUAUUAUAUGUAGGUGUAAUAAUCGUAUUAUAUGUAGCCUAUAACAAUGUUGGAAAUGAUUUGCUUCGUUUGGUUUUGUAUUCAGUUAGCAUUUCACUGUAAGGUCCUGUUGUAUUCGGCUGAUGUGACAAAU
Molecule: long non-coding RNA, 1529 nt
Organism: Oncorhynchus keta (chum salmon)
Lineage: Eukaryota; Metazoa; Chordata; Actinopteri; Salmoniformes; Salmonidae
Exons: 7
Source: RefSeq, a predicted model, not a curated record